GGGAAACCCUGAUGCAGCAACGCCGCGUGAGUGAUGAAGGUCUUCGGAUCGUAAAACUCUGUCUUAUGGGACGAUAAUGACGGUAUAGGAGGAAGCCACGGCUAACUACGUGCCAGCAGCCGCGGUAAUACGUAGGUGGCAAAAGCGUUGUCCGGAUUUACUGGGCGUAAAGGAUGUGUAGGCGGAUAUUUAAGUGAGAUGUGAACCCCGGGCUUAACUUGGGGGCUGCAUUUCAAACUGGAUGUCUGGAGUGCAGGAGAGGAAGGC
This 267-nucleotide ribosomal RNA is filed under the name uncultured Clostridium sp. RNAcentral's name for it is "partial 16S ribosomal RNA". It matches the Rfam family "Bacterial small subunit ribosomal RNA", at positions 375 to 662 of the family's 1533-position model. The record is from RNAcentral. Lineage: Bacteria; Bacillati; Bacillota; Clostridia; Eubacteriales; Clostridiaceae.